Molecule: transfer RNA, 79 nt
Filed under: Planctomycetaceae bacterium
Lineage: Bacteria; Pseudomonadati; Planctomycetota; Planctomycetia; Planctomycetales; Planctomycetaceae
Description: tRNA-Gly
Rfam family: tRNA
About the family: Transfer RNA (tRNA) molecules are approximately 80 nucleotides in length.
Source: RNAcentral
GCGGGCGUAGCUCAGUUGGUAGNNGUAGAGCACUAGCUUCCCAAGCUGGAUGUCGCGAGUUCGAGUCUCGUCGCCCGCU